AAUGGGAUCUAGCCGCCUGAUGUACAACUGUCUUGGGAAUCCUCAUACAGACGAAAGGUGUUUUGGCCCUGCGGUUGUGAAGAGGAUGCUGUGGAAGUGGCAGCAUGAACGUGUCACACAGACAUUGGCUAAACUACUCGGCUUCUACACUUGCCCUCAGAGUUCACAUAUGGUUAAGUGCACAGGUGUCCAGCCAGGUUCAGACUGAUGCUGGUAACAAGAGGAAAACAUGCUGAUUGGAAUGAUUCAACGAUGGACAUUUUGCUUAAUUGUGGAAAAAAAUAAAUGGAAAAACUUCUAUGGUUUCUUGUGUUUUCAUUGGUGAGGCAUAUGGGUUAAGCACUGAUCAGGAAGACCUCAAAUAAGGCGGAAUUCCACUGCAGCGGUGAGAACAUUCAGACGUCUUUUUUGUUUAUGGAAAGAGCUGAUUUUCUAGUAUGCUAGGUUCAUAACUGCAACCUAAAAUCAGCUGUUCCUCGAGACGUCAGGAUGCUUUCCUCGCGCAGAUGGGGUACGUCCAGUAGGUCGUAAUUAAAUCGGGUAAAUGUUGGCUCAUGGGUGGAUAUAAAGCGGCUAAACGUCGGCGAGAUGCAUGUAAAUAAAUGCAUCGGCAAGAUGUCUUUGAAAU
Long non-coding RNA from Engraulis encrasicolus (European anchovy), 628 nucleotides. RefSeq lists it as uncharacterized. The transcript has 4 exons. The record is from RefSeq and is a predicted model, not a curated record. Lineage: Eukaryota; Metazoa; Chordata; Actinopteri; Clupeiformes; Engraulidae.